This 429-nucleotide ribosomal RNA is filed under the name uncultured bacterium. RNAcentral's name for it is "bacterial SSU rRNA". It matches the Rfam family "Bacterial small subunit ribosomal RNA", at positions 355 to 772 of the family's 1533-position model. The record is from RNAcentral.
UAGGGAAUUGUUCGCAAUGGGCGCAAGCCUGACGACGCAACGCCGCGUGGAGGAUGAAGGUCUUCGGAUUGUAAACUCCUGUCGUGUGGGACGAACACUUGCUGGGCUAAUAUCCCGGCGAGCUGACGGUACCCCGAAAGGAAGCCCCGGCUAACUCUGUGCCAGCAGCCGCGGUAAUACAGAGGGGGCGAGCGUUGUUCGGAAUUACUGGGCGUAAAGGGCGCGUAGGUGGCCCGGUCAGUCCGUGGUGAAAGCGCGGGGCUCAACCCUGCGUCGGCCAUGGAUACUGCCGCGGCUCGAGCACUGUAGAGGCAGGCGGAAUUCCGGGUGUAGCGGUGGAAUGCGUAGAGAUCCGGAAGAACACCGGUGGCGAAGGCGGCCUGCUGGGCAGUAUGGCUGACACUGAGGCGCGACAGCGUGGGGAGCAAA